AACGCUAGCUACAGGCUUAACACAUGCAAGUCGAGGGGCAGCAUAAAAGUAGCAAUACUUUGGUGGCGACCGGCGCACGGGUGAGUAACGCGUAUGCAACCUACCUAUCAGAGGGGAAUAACCCGGCGAAAGUCGGACUAAUACCGCAUAAAACAGGGACACCGCAUGGUGAUAUUUGUUAAAGAAAUUCGCUGAUAGAUGGGCAUGCGUUCCAUUAGGUAGUUGGUGAGGUAACGGCUCACCAAGCCGACGAUGGAUAGGGGAACUGAGAGGUUGGUCCCCCACACUGGUACUGAGACACGGACCAGACUCCUACGGGAGGCAGCAGUGAGGAAUAUUGGUCAAUGGGCGAGAGCCUGAACCAGCCAAGUCGCGUGAAGGAAGAAGGAUCUAUGGUUCGUAAACUUCUUUUGCAGGGGAAUAAAGUGCAGGACGUGUCCUGUUUUGUAUGUACCCUGAGAAUAAGGAUCGGCUAACUCCGUGCCAGCAGCCGCGGUAAUACGGAGGAUCCGAGCGUUAUCCGGAUUUAUUGGGUUUAAAGGGAGCGUAGGCGGACGCUUAAGUCAGUUGUGAAAGUUUGCGGCUCAACCGUAAAAUUGCAGUUGAUACUGGGUGUCUUGAGUACAGUAGAGGUAGGCGGAAUUCGUGGUGUAGCGGUGAAAUGCUUAGAUAUCACGAAGAACUCCGAUUGCGAAGGCAGCUCACUGGAGCGCAACUGACGCUGAAGUUCGAAAGUGCGGGUAUCGAACAGGAUUAGAUACCCUGGUAGUCCGCACGGUAAACGAUGGAUGCCCGCUGUUGGUCUGAAUAGGUCAGCGGCCAAGCGAAAGCAUUAAGCAUCCCACCUGGGGAGUACGCCGGCAACGGUGAAACUCAAAGGAAUUGACGGGGGCCCGCACAAGCGGAGGAACAUGUGGUUUAAUUCGAUGAUACGCGAGGAACCUUACCCGGGCUUGAAUUGCAGAGGAAGGAUUUGGAGACAAUGACGCCCUUCGGGGUCUCUGUGAAGGUGCUGCAUGGUGUCGUCAGCUCGUGCCGUGAGUGUCGGCUUAAGUGC
Molecule: ribosomal RNA, 1057 nt
Filed under: uncultured Bacteroidales bacterium
Lineage: Bacteria; Pseudomonadati; Bacteroidota; Bacteroidia; Bacteroidales
Description: bacterial SSU rRNA
Rfam family: Bacterial small subunit ribosomal RNA
Source: RNAcentral